UGCUGUCCCCCAGCUAUGCGUUGGUAUUUCUUGUCAUGACUGUGUAGGUAAAUACCAGUGUCAACAUGCUGGAGCCGAACCCUUUGAUCUUGCUUCCAGGUCUUCCCACUCCCUUCAAUCAUAACCCUGUGAAAAUGCAUAUCAACACAACACAUCAGCAAAUCUUACAAGCAUGGAAAUCACUGAGGCAUGCCAAGCCACCUCUUAUAAAUAAAUCAAUUUGCUUCUCACCUCCAGUGAUCACCAGUAUCGGAUUCAUUUUCUCCCCCAAAGCAGCUCACCUGCACCCACAUUCACGGCGGUUACACAAGCCACUUAAGAGGUAAACUAACUAGCUGAAAUAGUUUUUACACAAUGGUUCUACACUUAUUAUGUACAUAAAAGCAGAGUUUUAAAGGGAAUGGUUUAGAAACCUCUUGGUUGCUAGAUAUGGGGGAAGCAUGCAAAUGGCUGUGCAGCCAUUUCCUAGUCUUCAUGUGCUGCAACCUGAUGAUGGUCCCGCUCGGAAUGCUGUCACCUUGCCUGGCAGAUGUUUCGAGCUGAGGUCCAACAACCUACAAACCAACAACACCACACUAACUUCAUUAUCACCAAUGCAAUCGAAAAGCAUGAUACGUAAAUUGAACAAACUGUAGCGAAUACCGUACCCAGUAGCUGUUAGCAUCGUCGACAUUUGGAAACCCAGUGACAGACUGCUGGCCACUGCCAGAGCCAUACGGCACGUCGUGUGAGUGCAGCCGAAACUUGGUCCUCUCGUGCAUAAGCUUCAGCACACUUCCGUAUGUGAUCUGCUGAAUGCCGGUAUACAUUUAUCAAUCUCCGAUAAUCAGAUUCAGAUCAGAAUUAAAUGGGAGAGAAACAAACCUCGACGCCCUCAGCGGUGGGGGUGGUGGCGGCGUAGCCUGUAUCGAGAUCGAGGCCGAGGAAGAGGAAGACAGCAAGGCAGAGAAAGCCCACGGCCAUGGCGAAGAGCGAGGCUAUGAACCAGGUCUGUUGCCAAAAGGGGAACUGAGGCUCCGAAGCCCGGCUGGGAAUAGUGAAU
RNAcentral lists this long non-coding RNA (1042 nucleotides) under Fragaria vesca (wild strawberry). RNAcentral describes it as "long non-coding RNA (FVES_LNC001088)". Lineage: Eukaryota; Viridiplantae; Streptophyta; Magnoliopsida; Rosales; Rosaceae. The record is from RNAcentral.